GCUGACUCUCUUUUCAGACUCAGCCCGCCUGCGCUCAGGUGAAAUAAACAGCCUUGUUGCUCACACAAAGCCUGUUUGGUGGUCUCUUCACACGGACGUGCAUGAAAUUUGGUGCCGUGACUCGGAUUGGGGAACCUCCCUUGGGAGAUCAAUCCCCUGUCCUCCUGCUCUUUGCUCCAUGAAAAAGAUCCACCUACGACCUCAGGUCCUCAGACCCACCAGCCCAAGGAACAUCUCACCAAUUUUAAAUCGG
RNAcentral lists this non-coding RNA (253 nucleotides) under Pongo abelii (Sumatran orangutan). The record is from RNAcentral. Lineage: Eukaryota; Metazoa; Chordata; Mammalia; Primates; Hominidae.